GACGAACGCUGGCGGCGUGCCUAAUACAUGCAAGUAGAACGCUGAAGGAGGAGCUUGCUUCUCCGGAUGAGUUGCGAACGGGUGAGUAACGCGUAGGUAACCUGCCUGGUAGCGGGGGAUAACUAUUGGAAACGAUAGCUAAUACCGCAUAAGAGUAGAUGUUGCAUGACAUUUGCUUAAAAGGUGCAAUUGCAUCACUACCAGAUGGACCUGCGUUGUAUUAGCUAGUUGGUGGGGUAACGGCUCACCAAGGCGACGAUACAUAGCCGACCUGAGAGGGUGAUCGGCCACACUGGGACUGAGACACGGCCCAGACUCCUACGGGAGGCAGCAGUAGGGAAUCUUCGGCAAUGGACGGAAGUCUGACCGAGCAACGCCGCGUGAGUGAAGAAGGUUUUCGGAUCGUAAAGCUCUGUUGUAAGAGAAGAACGAGUGUGAGAGUGGAAAGUUCACACUGUGACGGUAUCUUACCAGAAAGGGACGGCUAACUACGUGCCAGCAGCCGCGGUAAUACGUAGGUCCCGAGCGUUGUCCGGAUUUAUUGGGCGUAAAGCGAGCGCAGGCGGUUAGAUAAGUCUGAAGUUAAAGGCUGUGGCUUAACCAUAGUACGCUUUGGAAACUGUUUUAACUUGAGUGCAAGAGGGGGAGAGUGGAAUUCCAUGUGUAGCGGUGAAAUGCGUAGAUAUAUGGAGGAACAUCGGUGGGGAAAGCGGCUCUCUGG
Molecule: ribosomal RNA, 721 nt
Filed under: uncultured Streptococcus sp.
Lineage: Bacteria; Bacillati; Bacillota; Bacilli; Lactobacillales; Streptococcaceae
Description: bacterial SSU rRNA
Rfam family: Bacterial small subunit ribosomal RNA
Source: RNAcentral